This is a long non-coding RNA of Spinacia oleracea (spinach), 703 nucleotides long. RefSeq lists it as uncharacterized. Lineage: Eukaryota; Viridiplantae; Streptophyta; Magnoliopsida; Caryophyllales; Amaranthaceae. The transcript is spliced from 4 exons. The record is from RefSeq and is a predicted model, not a curated record.
UGAAACCCAAACAAACAAAAAAAAGACUUCAAACCCUCCUCUCUUCAACACAACUUCACGUGAAUAGGAACUGCAAACCCCUUGCUUCAGCCUUGCUGCUACUGCUCACGCCGCCAACCACCGGCCACCCGCAACCACGCCGGACCGCCGCCGCCACCACGCAGCGCACGCAACCACCUCCACCACCUGGUCGCUGCGGGUGUACCCCCCUUGCUGCGCCGCUUUGUUUGCACCGUGCGUCAGCCAUCGUUGACGCCCUAUAGGCCAGCUUCCUCCUCCUCUUUUCUUGGUUCUUCUUUCGCACGCUACACCACCACGCUGCCACCAGCGCACCACCGUGUGCGACUCUUCCGUCCAGCCGUCCCUCAGCCGUGCCCCUGUCUGCCGGCAGCCUUGCCCUCUACUCUUUUUGGCGGAGAAUUCUCUUUAGGCGACUUUUGAAAGUGUUAAAGUGGCCUAUCAGUUUGUUUACACAAGUCUCUAAGGAUCAAUAAGCGUUGCCAUCUACAGGUUUGAAGAUGAUGCAUCAUGGGGAUCGGGAUUAAAGAGCUUGUAUUGAUUUUGUCUUGCUAUGUUAUUUGGGUUUUGUUAAUACUUUAAACUUGUCGUACUAUUUAUAUUUCCUUAUUUUCGUUGGUUGGUUUUUGGUAUUAAACCUGUAAUCGAUUAUUUAUAAACCUAAAGUUAGUUUUAUGUUUUCCGC